AACGAACGCUGGCGGCAGGCUUAACACAUGCAAGUCGAACGGAAGCUCCGUGGUUCUUGGCCGACGGGUGAGGAACGGGUGGGGGCUGACGCUUUGCUGCGAAAUAGCUCAGUGGAGGUUGAGCUAAUACCGAAUGUGACCUAAGUACGGAAGAUGUCUUGGCAAAGGAUGGGGGCGCGUUGGAUUAGCUAGUUGGUGGGGUAAUGGCCUAUCAAGGCGACGAGCCAUAGCUGGUCUGAGAGAAUGAUCCGCCACACUUGGACUGAGACACGGUCCAGACUCCUACGGGAGGCAGCAGUGGGGGAUACUGGCCAAUGGGCGCAAGGCUGAUCCAGCCAGGCUGGGUGAGUGAUGAAGUUCUUGGGAAUGUACAGCUCUCUAACAGGUGAAGAUACUGACGGUAGCGGGAGAAGAAGCCCCGGCUAACUUCGUG
This 433-nucleotide ribosomal RNA is filed under the name uncultured bacterium. RNAcentral's name for it is "partial 16S ribosomal RNA". It matches the Rfam family "Bacterial small subunit ribosomal RNA", at positions 29 to 507 of the family's 1533-position model. The record is from RNAcentral.